AAAUAUAGGGGCUUGAGUUGCAGUCGAACAGCACAAAAGGAUGGAAAUCGUCCACCUGUUUGGGGAAAGUCCCCGAGCUCAUGGUAGCAAGUACCACUCGUAACAGAGGAAUCCUGGAGCCUGGCUGACAAGGCUUUGGGCCUUCGCUAUAGCACAGUUAUGCAACUAUAGUAACUCAACGGGGCUUACAAGCUAAUAUAUU
This 202-nucleotide RNase MRP RNA is filed under the name Stentor coeruleus. Its description in RNAcentral is "RNase MRP". It matches the Rfam family "RNase MRP". Rfam says of the family: RNase MRP is an enzymatically active ribonucleoprotein with two distinct roles in eukaryotes. In mitochondria it plays a direct role in the initiation of mitochondrial DNA replication. Lineage: Eukaryota; Ciliophora; Heterotrichea; Heterotrichida; Stentoridae. The record is from Rfam by way of RNAcentral.